UAGCUGCGUUAAGUGGUGUGAAUUGCAGGACACGCCGAGCACUAAAUUUUCGAACGCAUAUUGCGGCUUCGGGUUUACCCGAAGCCUCGUCUGUCUGAGGGUCGGUUUAAUUUGACAUAGUACGAGUCUUGUCGAUGUAUGGCCGUUAUUACAAGUUGCUAACAUCGUCGGACUUUGACGACGCGACAGUUGCCAUAGGUUGGUAGCAAUGUCGUUGCAGCACAACGUGUCUGUGACGCGCAUUGUCAUUCUCGAUUACCAACCAGCAAUGUUGUUGCGUGUUUGUAAUACAUUGUCGGCGGCAAUUGCCGUCGGCAUUACAAAACAUUUACCGUCGACCUCAGAUCAGUCGAGAUUACCCGCUGAAUUUAA
Molecule: unclassified non-coding RNA, 372 nt
Filed under: uncultured fungus
Lineage: Eukaryota; Fungi
Description: sequence contains ITS1
Rfam family: 5.8S ribosomal RNA (bases 1-104)
Source: RNAcentral